RNAcentral lists this ribosomal RNA (465 nucleotides) under uncultured bacterium. RNAcentral's name for it is "bacterial SSU rRNA". It matches the Rfam family "Bacterial small subunit ribosomal RNA", at positions 338 to 795 of the family's 1533-position model. The record is from RNAcentral.
CCUACGGGUGGCACCAGUAGGGAAUCUUCGGCAAUGGACGAAAGUCUGACCGAGCAACGCCGCGUGAGUGAAGAAGGUUUUCGGAUCGUAAAACUCUGUUGGUAGAGAAGAACGUUGGUGAGAGUGGAAAGCUCAUCAAGUGACGAUAACUACCCAGAAAGGGACGGCUAACUACGUGCCAGCAGCCGCGGUAAUACGUAGGUCCCGAGCGUUGUCCGGAUUUAUUGGGCGUAAAGCGAGCGCAGGUGGUUUAUUAAGUCUGGUGUAAAAGGCAGUGGCUCAACCAUUGUAUGCAUUGGAAACUGGUAGACUUGAGUGCAGGAGAGGAGAGUGGAAUUCCAUGUGUAGCGGUGAAAUGCGUAGAUAUAUGGAGGAACACCGGUGGCGAAAGCGGCUCUCUGGCCUGUAACUGACACUGAGGCUCGAAAGCGUGGGGAGCAAACAGGAUUAGAUACCCUCGUAGUC